This 483-nucleotide ribosomal RNA is filed under the name uncultured bacterium. RNAcentral's name for it is "bacterial SSU rRNA". It matches the Rfam family "Bacterial small subunit ribosomal RNA", at positions 28 to 506 of the family's 1533-position model. The record is from RNAcentral.
GAUGAACGCUAGCGGCAGGCUUAAUACAUGCAAGUCGUGGGGCAGCAUGAGUAGCAAUACUUGAUGGCGACCGGCAAACGGGUGAGGAACACGUACACAACCUUCCUUCAAGCGGGGAAUAGCCCAGAGAAAUUUGGAUUAAUACCCCAUAAUAUAUUUGAUAAGGCAUCUUAUUAAUAUUAAAGCUUCGGCACUUGAUGAUGGGUGUGCGGCUGAUUAGAUAGUUGGCGGGGUAACGGCCCACCAAGUCUACGAUCAGUAGCUGAUGUGAGAGCAUGAUCAGCCACACGGGCACUGAGACACGGGCCCGACUCCUACGGGAGGCAGCAGUAAGGAAUAUUGGACAAUGGACGAAAGUCUGAUCCAGCCAUGCCGCGUGAAGGAUUAAGGUCCUCUGGAUUGUAAAUUUCUUUAUAUGGGACGAAAAAGGGCAUUACUUGUUCACUUGACGGUACCAUAUGAAUAAGCACCGGCUAACUCCGU